AGCGAACGCUGGCGGCAGGCCUAACACAUGCAAGUCGAACGAACCUUUCGGGGUUAGUGGCGGACGGAUGAGUAACACGUGGGAACGUGCCUUUAGGUUCGGAAUAACUCAGGGAAACUUGUGCUAAUACCGAAUGUGCCCUUCGGGGGAAAGAUUUAUCGCCUUUAGAGCGGCCCGCGUCUGAUUAGCUAGUUGGUUGAGGUAAUGGCUCACCAAGGCGACGAUCAGUAGCUGGUCUGAGAGGAUGAUCAGCCACAUUGGGACUGAGACACGGCCCAAACUCCUACGGGAGGCAGCAGUGGGGAAUCUUGCGCAAUGGGCGAAAGCCUGACGCAGCCAUGCCGCGUGAAUGAUGAAGGUCUUAGGAUUGUAAAAUUCUUUCACCGGGGACGAUAAUGACGGUACCCGGAGAAGAAGCCCCGGCUAACUUCGUG
This 434-nucleotide ribosomal RNA is filed under the name uncultured bacterium. RNAcentral's name for it is "partial 16S ribosomal RNA". It matches the Rfam family "Bacterial small subunit ribosomal RNA", at positions 29 to 507 of the family's 1533-position model. The record is from RNAcentral.